CCUACGGGAGGCUGCAGUGGGGAAUAUUGCACAAUGGGGGAAACCCUGAUGCAGCGACGCCGCGUGAGUGAAGAAGUAUUUCGGUAUGUAAAGCUCUAUCAGCAGGGAAGAAGAAAGACGGUACCUGACUAAGAAGCCACGGCUAACUACGUGCCAGCAGCCGCGGUAAUACGUAGGGGGCAAGCGUUAUCCGGAUUUACUGGGUGUAAAGGGAGCGUAGACGGGUGUGCAAGUCUGAAGUGAAAGCCCAGGGCUCAACCCUGGGACUGCUUUGGAAACUGUGGAGCUAGAGUGCUGGAGAGGUAAGUGGAAUGCGUGGUGUAGCGGUGAAAUGCGUAGAUAUUAGGCGGAACACCAGUGGCGAAGGCAGCUUACUGGACAUUAACUGACGUUGAGGCUCGAAAGCGUGGGGAGCGAACAGGAUUAGAUACCCGAGUAGUC
RNAcentral lists this ribosomal RNA (441 nucleotides) under uncultured bacterium. RNAcentral's name for it is "partial 16S ribosomal RNA". It matches the Rfam family "Bacterial small subunit ribosomal RNA", at positions 338 to 795 of the family's 1533-position model. The record is from RNAcentral.